This is a long non-coding RNA of Betta splendens (Siamese fighting fish), 1001 nucleotides long. RefSeq lists it as uncharacterized. The record is from RefSeq and is a predicted model, not a curated record. NCBI's taxonomy places the organism in Eukaryota, Metazoa, Chordata, Actinopteri, Anabantiformes, Osphronemidae. The transcript is spliced from 2 exons.
AGGAGAACACAGGGCUUGUGGGUAAUUACGGCGGAGUGGUGGGAGAGGGAGCAUUUGGGAAAGGCUUGGGGGCCAGAUGUUUGAGGAAUGUUCUGGCUGCUGCAGUGUGCAGAGGUGGGUGGAUGGAUGGAUGGGAGGGUGGAGAAGGGGAGAAGACCAGUUGAAUUACACAGCCUGCAGAUCGUUAAAAAGCUGUCAGGCCUCCAGAGCUCUACUGUGUAUUUCACAUCAUCUCAACGAGCAGCAACAGCCUCACCUUUAUGCCUGACAGCGGUGGAAACCGACCGCUACGCCGCAGCAGCCAGGGCUCAGCGAUCAGUAAAGAGCCACAAGAGGGUGGGCAAUUACUCCUUCAGGCUACCCACAAUGCACCUGGAGAGCUCAACCUGCGUCACAGACGGUCCCUCUGCACACAUACAAACAUAAGGAAAAUAAAAAACACGCCUCCCAUCUGCUUCUCAUCAACCUCAUCCAUCUCAUCUUUACCCCCCACCCCUGUCACACAGACUGCUUCUCUCACUGUCUCUGUUUCAUGCUCUGUCUCAGCAACUCGUCCAACCUUCCACCACCGCAGCCUCUGGAGCUGUGGCAUGGAUAAAUAGGCCACAACAGCUGGGUCUGACUCCUGACCAGGACCACCCCUCCAGACCUGACCACAACCACUAUCACCCCCUCCUCCUGCAUGGGCCGGGGCCCAUUUGUUUUAAAGACAGAACAGUUUUCCCAUUACAGGCUUUGUUUAUGUAAUGAUUUAUUUGGGUGUGUAUAGUUUUGCUAUCCAUUAAAAUUCAUUACCUGAAUUUUUGAUAAAUGAGUGUGCUUAGCAGGAGGUUGAAAACGGUUUGUUUACAGUUGCAUUUGUAGAUGGAAAAAAACGGGUUUUGAGUUAUGACAACUCUACAGAAAUUUGUUUUCCAUGUUCCUUCUGGAGCACUUCAGAACCAUACACAAAUAUACCUAAAAUGUACACGGUUCAAAUAAAUUCCUGAUUGCGCCUUUAA